CAGGAGGUGCCCAGAGUGCAAAUGCUGCCCGGCUAUCAGCUGCAGCCGGCACAAGCCUGCUGUAAUUUGAUGAGCGAACAAACUCCUGUCCCAGAGCAGGAGGUGAGAUCGCUCGUGCAACAGCAGGAGGCAGCCUAUUGCUAGCAACAACUCGUGACCCGUCCCUGCGCCAGCGGCGGCUAGCCCACAGGCCUCGGUGGAAAGAAAUACCGUAAAUGUAGCAGCGACUGUCAUCGCUGUUUUAUUUUCUCUUUGGCCUCUGGGUAUUCACACGGCUUCCCCAUUAUUAGUCAUAUUAUAUCAUCAGCCACAAUUGUGCUUGUCAACCACUGGGGGAGGGAGCUACCAUUAGAAUACAGGGGCAUGGAAGAAAGGAAAAAGAAGCAAUCCUUCUCUGGGGAAGGAGGAAAACAGGAAGAGUGGCUGCUGCAUGACGGUGCGCCCGCCGCGUAGCUGUGGCUGGUGACAGACGAGGCAAAGUGGGAGAUUUCAUCUGGUCAGGACCCCAUGCGGACUUGCUGUUGUUUUUCCCGGGCUCAGGGGCCCUCAGAGCCAGAAACAGCACAGUUGUGGACAGAGGUGGACAGAGGCCAGGCCCGCCCAUUGGCUGGUGCCUGACUCGGUGGGUCUGUGGGCUGCCUCCUGAACAGGAGGUGACUGUGGCCAGCCUGAUGCAGGGCAGAGACACCGUUUCCUUGGCAACCGGAUCUAACAAUAGUGAUGCACAUUUCCGGCCGAAGCACAGUGGUGGGAAGAACUCGGACUGGGGAGCCAGAAUGGCCUGGAUUGGAGUCCAGUUCUGCUACUGACAAGCUGCGUGGUGGGGGCGAGCUCUUGAGCCUCUCUGAGACGGAUACGGUGGCAGCGCUGGUGGAAGCGCCUAGCGUGGUACCCGAGACCUGCCCCCAUCUUCUUUUCAGAAGUUUCCUCUUUCUGCUCUGAGAGGGGCUAAGCCAGCCGUGGCUCCCUUCCAUCCCGAUUCCGGUAGAGACAAGCUGGGGAAGUUUCUGGGAGCUAUGUGGGUGAGCAGAGUUGGAGACCUGGCAUGGCUGUACUGGCUGCGUCACUGCAGGUAACUGGCGGCUCAGCUUGAUAACACGUUUACCUGAGUCAUCUUUGGCAAAGGUUACCAGGCUCCAGGAUGGAACACACAUGGGAGAAAUGCCCCUUCCGUGACACGCCCACCUCGCUCUAAAGUGAGACGAGGGAGGGAGGACGUGGCCACCAGGUAAUGAAGUCUAGAGGUUACUAGAGUUGAGGGAUUGAUGUGUUGGGUAGGGGCUGGGUCUCAUUUCUGAGAAGCUCAGGACAAAACCCUGUUCAUGUUAGAGUGCUUUAGCCAAAUUCACCCUGUGGUGGUUGGGUGAAGUCCUGUCAUCACAACUGGUUUUGAUUCCUUCAGAGUAAGAAUUAUUUGUAUUUUAUUUAUUUAUUAUUUAUUUAUAUUAUUUAUUUAUUUAUUUAUUUAUUUAAGAUGGAGUCUCACUCUAUCUCCCAGGCUGGAGCACAGUGGCACGAUCUCAGCUCACUGCGAACUCUACCUCCCAGGUUCAACCGAUUCUCCUAGCUCAGCCUCCCAAGUAGCUGAGAUCACAGGCAUGUGCCACCACACCCAGUUAAUUUUUGUAUUUUUAGUAGAGACGGGAUUUUGCCAUGUUGGCCAGGCUGGUCUCGAACUCCUGACCUCAGGUGAUCCCACCUGCCUUGGCCUCCCAAAGCACUGGGAUUACAGGUGUGAGCCACUGCGCCCGGCCUGUUUUUUAAAUUUUCUAUUUGACAAAUGAGGAAAUGGAGGCCCAGGCCUGGCUGCACUAAGAGAGCUCUGGAUCCUGACCCAGGUCUGGGUGAAGCUCAGGCCUCUUGACUUAGGGUGGAGGUGUAAACAGGGGAAAAAACAAGCCAAACCAAAAAAAUGCAUAAUCACUAAUGGUGUUGAAAACAAUUGCUUAAGAUUUUGAGGCCAGGUGUGGUGACUCACGCCUGUAAUCUCAGCACUUUGGGAGGCCGAGGCGGCAGAUCAUGAGAUCAGGAGAUGGAGACCAUCCUGGCUAACACAGUGAAACCCUGUCUCUACUAAAAACACACAAAAAAUUAGCUGGGCCUGUUGGCAUGUGCCUGUAGUCCCAGCUACUUGGGAGGUUGAAGCAGGAGAAUCGCUUGACCCCAGUGGGUGGAGGUUACAGUGAGCCGAGAUUGUGCCACUGCACUCCAGCCUGGGCCACAGAGCGAGAGUCCAUUUCAAACAAACAAACAAAAAAACCAUUUUGAAAUGUAAAGCUGUAAAACCCUGUACAGCCCCAGGCUUGCUGACAGGCAGAGGUCAAGGCCACAUCUGUGCUGUGUUUUUCCACUGCCGUGGGCUCUCCUGCCACAGCUCAUUUAUCUGCAGCACAAGGGCCACGUGGAUUUCAACGCAAGGGGGUGGCACUGGUCUUUGCUUAUGCUGGGUGGGUGUCACCUUGGAAUUCCUUCCCUGGGACUGCAUAAAACCAACCCCCAAACCUCUAAUGAAAUGGGGUAUAACAAAUCAAUGAAGGUUCUGCAGAGAG
This 2549-nucleotide long non-coding RNA is filed under the name Macaca mulatta (Rhesus monkey). RNAcentral's name for it is "lncRNA (ENSMMUG00000059118.1)". Lineage: Eukaryota; Metazoa; Chordata; Mammalia; Primates; Cercopithecidae. The record is from RNAcentral.